This 859-nucleotide long non-coding RNA is filed under the name Malus domestica (apple). RNAcentral's name for it is "long non-coding RNA (MDOM_LNC012201)". The record is from RNAcentral. Lineage: Eukaryota; Viridiplantae; Streptophyta; Magnoliopsida; Rosales; Rosaceae.
AUUCCCUAUUUAUAUUAUGAUUACAAUUAGAGAACCUGUUAUAAAAUAUGCAAAUACACUUGUGUCUCUCUUUAUGGACACGCACACACACAUCCCUGCACACUUUGACACAUACAUUUAAUUGAUUGGCCUAAUCGGAUAAAUGGUCAUCGUGGUAAUGAGGCAAUCGAAAGAUAUCCCCUGUAGCAAAAAAAUUAGAAUUUAAACUCUCGUGGUAUAAUCUGUUAGCAAAUUUAGUCCAAAACUAAUUUUUCUAUUAAUUGUCCGUUAAAUGCAGGGAUCAAUGUCCUCAGGAUCCAGGUACUGGGUCCAGUUGUUUCGUCUUCUCUUUUCAAUCUUGUACGAGCAAUCAGAAAAAAUAAGAGUAUCUUGUUCUUGUCACUCUUGUUGUUGCUAUUGAUCAUGGCUUGCUGGACGAACUAGCGAGACAUGUUGGAGGACUGGACAAAGAGGCGGAGGUCUCCAACCACUGGACCUUGAGCAAACACUUGGCGGACGAACUGCUUCUGAUUGCAGACGACGCAUGUCCAUUUGUUGCUUUUGUUCCUUUGCUUCACCUGCAAAUUUAAUCAGUAUUCAUCGCCAAACAAAAUCAUCAAGUUUCAGAUUCAAGUGUUUGUACACACACACGCAUGUACAUACCUGCUUGGUGGAGUUGCCAUGUACAUACCUGCAUGGUGGAGCAUUGGCAGCACUGAACUGCGAUGAACACAGUCGGCAUUUUCUUCUCUGCUUUCGGAUUUCACAAGUCGAUGUGGGAUUUUGGUAUUACUGAAAAUUUAGGCGGCGAUUUGAUUUGGGGUUUGGGCGCCAAAUUUUGGGGAUUCAAAAUUUUGUGAUUAAAAAUCCUAAAAAGCCC